GACGAACGCUGGCGGCGUGCCUAACACAUGCAAGUCGAACGGGGUUGAGUGCUUCGGUAUUCAACCUAGUGGCGAACGGGUGAGUAACGCGUGAAGAACCUGCCUUUCAGUGGGGGACAACAGUUGGCAACGACUGCUAAUACCGCAUGACGCUUCUUGGGGGCAUCCCCGAGAAGUCAAAGCUUUAUGUGCUGAAAGAUGGCGUCGCGUCUGAUGAGCGAGAUGGCGGGGUAACGGCCCACCAUGGCGACGAUCAGUAGCCGGGCUGAGAGGAUGAACGGCCACAUUGGGACUGAGAUACGGCCCAGACUCCUACGGGAGGCAGCAGUGGGGAAUAUUGGGCAAUGGGGGAAACCCUGACCCAGCAACGCCGCGUGAAGGAAGAAGGCCUUCGGGUUGUAAACUUCUUUUACCAGGGACGAAGGACGUGACGGUACCUGGAGAAAAAGCAACGGCUAACUACGUGCCAGCCGCCGCGGUAA
This 482-nucleotide ribosomal RNA is filed under the name uncultured bacterium. RNAcentral describes it as "partial 16S ribosomal RNA". It matches the Rfam family "Bacterial small subunit ribosomal RNA", at positions 28 to 523 of the family's 1533-position model. The record is from RNAcentral.